AAAAAAUGUCCAAAAAUGGCAUGUUUGAUUCUUAUUUGCAAGAUGAUUUAACUCAGAGGAGCAUAUAUCAUGUACAAUAAAAGAACAUCCAAGUUGAUCAGCCACCAUUCAGCAUCAGGAGCUAGGGAAUCAGUGGACGUCAAAAGGUAUGAAGAAGAAGACAUCUCUAGUUGGAUUUGUUAACGUUUCACACUAAUGCAUAUGCGUGAAAAAUAUUGUCAUCUUUACACAACAUAAAGUUGGAUAACUACUAGUAGUAUUACAAUAGGAAUGUCGAUAUGCUAGAUAAAAACAUGGUACUUCCCACUAUACCAAAUACAAAAUGAAGUGACAAAUGCAGAACGCUUCUUUCAGACAUUCUUGGGGCAAUAAGACUUGCCAAACAAUGCAAGUCAUAAUCCUCCAGUCAGUCUCCCUAGACUAAAUCAACCAACCUAUGCUUCUAAGUCUCCUUCUAAGUAUUUCAGGUUUAUCCUAAAUAAUCAAUAUCAUAAAAGUAAAUAUCUGUACAUUACUCUUGUCCUGGAGAGUAUGCCUUGACUAAUGAGUAAAUACCACUCUUCCUGGUCUAGUCAUUACUCUGGUUUAUCCUCUUGGCCCAAGCACAAUGGACAAGGGGG
RNAcentral lists this unclassified non-coding RNA (620 nucleotides) under Hevea brasiliensis (rubber tree). Lineage: Eukaryota; Viridiplantae; Streptophyta; Magnoliopsida; Malpighiales; Euphorbiaceae. The record is from RNAcentral.